AGUGAACGCUGGCGGUAGGCCUAACACAUGCAAGUCGAACGGCAGCACAGUAAGAGCUUGCUCUUACGGGUGGCGAGUGGCGGACGGGUGAGGAAUACAUCGGAAUCUACUUUUUCGUGGGGGAUAACGUAGGGAAACUUACGCUAAUACCGCAUACGACCUACGGGUGAAAGCAGGGGAUCUUCGGACCUUGCGCGAUUGAAUGAGCCGAUGUCGGAUUAGCUAGUUGGCGGGGUAAAGGCCCACCAAGGCGACGAUCCGUAGCUAGUCUGAGAGGAUGAUCAGCCACACUGGAACUGAGACACGGUCCAGACUCCGACGGGAGGCAGCAGUGGGGAAUAUUGGACAAUGGGCGCAAGCCUGAUCCAGCCAUACCGCGUGGGUGAAGAAGGCCUUCGGGUUGUAAAGCCCUUUUGUUGGGAAAGAAAAGCAGCAGGUUAAUACCCCGCUGUUCUGACGGUACCCAAAGAAUAAGCACCGGCUAACUUCGUG
Molecule: ribosomal RNA, 492 nt
Filed under: uncultured bacterium
Lineage: Bacteria
Description: partial 16S ribosomal RNA
Rfam family: Bacterial small subunit ribosomal RNA
Source: RNAcentral